AAGAGUAAGGGUCUUCUAGGCCCGACCUCCCAACCCUUUGUUUACCAAACCAUCGUUGCUUCGGCGGGCCCGUCUCAGGACCGCCGGAGGACCGUCAGACGUCCUCUGGCCCGCGCCCGCCGAUAGCCCCUAUCAUUAAACUCUGAACAAACGUGUCCUGUCUGAGUGAUUAUUAUCAAAAUUAAAGCAA
This 190-nucleotide unclassified non-coding RNA is filed under the name uncultured fungus. RNAcentral describes it as "sequence contains ITS1, 5.8S rRNA gene". The record is from RNAcentral. Lineage: Eukaryota; Fungi.